AUACGGAGGGUGCAAGCGUUAUCCGGAUUCAUUGGGUUUAAAGGGUGCGAAGGCGGAAUGAUAAGUCAGUGGUGAAAUCCUACAGCUUAACUGUAGAACUGCCAUUGAUACUGUCAUGCUUGAGUACACUUGAAGUGGGCGGAAUGUAUCAUGUAGCGGUGAAAUGCAUAGAUAUGAUACAGAACUCCGAUAGCGAAGGAAGCUCACUAAAUUGUAACUGACGCUCAGGCACGAAAGCGUGGGGAGCAAACAGGAUUAGAAACCCCGGUAGUCC
RNAcentral lists this ribosomal RNA (274 nucleotides) under uncultured bacterium. Its description in RNAcentral is "partial 16S ribosomal RNA". It matches the Rfam family "Bacterial small subunit ribosomal RNA", at positions 523 to 796 of the family's 1533-position model. The record is from RNAcentral.